CUUUUAUAUUGUGGCAGGGAAAAAAUGAAAAUGUUUGCAUUACCUCAGUAAAGUUCAGGAAAUUAUGGCUCCUUUAAAAUCAUGUACCAGGCCUGGCACAGUGGCUCAUGCCUGUAAUCCCAACAUUUUGGAAGACCAAGGUGGGAGGAUUACUUAAGGCUAGAAGUUAGAGACCAGCCUGGGCACAAAAGCUAUUAUAGACCCCAUCUCUACAAAAAAAUUUAAAAAUUAGCCUGGUGUGGUGGCAUGUAUCUGUAGUCCCAGCUACUCGGGAGGCUGAGGCCAGAGGAUCGCUAGAGCCCAGAAAUUCAAAGGUGCAAUGAGCCAUGAUCACACCACUACCCUCCAGUCUGAGUGACAGAGCAAGACUCUGUCUCAAAAAAUAUAUAUAUAAUAUAAAAUGAAAUAAAACAUGUACCAUAUUGAUAGAGAAGAGUUUCAUUAUCUGGCAGAGAAAGUUAGGAUUUCUUUGAGUAUGUCUGAAGAUAUGAAUAGAAAAAAGGAGAGACUUCCAUUCUGCAUUAAAGUGCUACUUGAUAUAUUGAAGGUAGAUCAGGGUCUACUUAUGUAAAUGAUUCUUAUUUCUAUCUCAUUACAUGAUAUAUAAUAUCAUUUUGUUCUUUGGGCUGUCGUCAUUGUACAUCCAAAUACGAAGCAGUGUAGCUUUGUUUUCCCUAAGGGGUUUUCUGUAUGAUGUCAAGUGUUUAUAUCUUCAAAUUAUUUGAAGUUUUCUUCUGCAGAAUUUAGGUUUCUAUAAUAUAUAGGGAUAAGGAAUUGAGUAGUUCAGACUCCCUUUGAAAACUGUAGAAAACCUUUCUGUCAGAUCUUUCUUUUUUCUUCAUAUUCUCAUUUUCGCCCUCCCCACCCCAGCUUUGAAGCAUACAUAAUAGGUGUUGGUUUAUUUUUUCCUCAUGGAAUCAUGGGUAGUUUCAUUGCAGCUCAUCUCUUUCUGUUUGUUUCGUAUAGGGCUGAUAGUUCAGGACCAUUCAGACCCCAUGUUCAGUUCAUAUGCCUAUAAGUCCCACUACCUACUGAAUGAAUCAAAUCGUGCUGAGUUGAUGAAAUUACCUAUGAUUCCUUCUUCGUCAGCUUCCAAAAAGAAAUGUGAGAAAGUUAUUAAGACUGUUUAUUUGUUUCAAGGUGGAAGAUUGCUCUGCUGUGAAUCGUGCCCAGCUUCCUUCCACCCGGAAUGCCUAAGCAUAGAAAUGCCAGAAGGCUGCUGGAAUUGUAAUGACUGUAAAGCUGGCAAGAAACUACAUUACAAGCAGAUUGUUUGGGUCAAAUUGGGAAAUUACAGGCAAGUUUUUCCAAGAACAAAGAGGAAGUAUUCAAUCAUUGUGCAGACCAGUUUCAUACUCUGGAUACAGAGUGACUUGGAGAUAGAUAGGUAGACAGCAUGGACCUACUUCCUU
RNAcentral lists this long non-coding RNA (1412 nucleotides) under Homo sapiens (human). RNAcentral describes it as "long non-coding RNA NONHSAT216945.1". Lineage: Eukaryota; Metazoa; Chordata; Mammalia; Primates; Hominidae. The record is from RNAcentral.